RNAcentral lists this ribosomal RNA (253 nucleotides) under uncultured bacterium. RNAcentral describes it as "partial 16S ribosomal RNA". It matches the Rfam family "Bacterial small subunit ribosomal RNA", at positions 524 to 776 of the family's 1533-position model. The record is from RNAcentral.
UACCGAGGCCUCAAGCGUUGUUCGGAUUCAUUGGGCGUAAAGGGUGCGUAGGCGGCGCGGUAAGUCGGGUGUGAAAUCUUGGAGCUUAACUCCGAAACUGCAUUCGAUACUGCCGUGCUUGAGGACUGGAGAGGAGACUGGAAUUUACGGUGUAGCGGUGAAAUGCGUAGAUAUCGUAAGGAAGACCAGUGGCGAAGGCGGGUCUCUGGACAGUUCCUGACGCUGAGGCACGAAGGCCAGGGGAGCAAACGGG